UUUAUCCCAGAGCUCCCCGUUUCUUUGGCGGUCUCCAGAAGGGCCGAGUGGCAAAGACGGGGCUUGUGUCAGCGCCCUGGUCUCCCACCUCUCGCCCAGCCUGUGCCUGGGCACGCCCGCCCGCGUCAAGUGUUUGGAACCCGCAUGUGACCCAGAGGAAAUGCCUGAAAUUGGCUGGAGCAUCAAGAGGACCUGGCACCAAAAGGGCCCAUUGAGUCCAUCCAAAUCACUGGAGCUCCAGCUAUGACAGGAUGGUUCUUCUUUACAAGGACCUACUAAAAAAUUCAUCUUGGAUGUGCUAUGACGGCCUCAGUGUCCAUUGAAAGCACUCCCUUACUUGAGGUUCAAUCAGUGCAGCAACAAAAUGUUGACUAAAGCCUGCCAUUUGACUAAAGGAAAAACAAUAAAAAUCACCACUAGCUAGAAAUACACAUUUGGAGUAGCACAUGAUUUUGGGAUGUUCUGGAAACCAAGAGGAUAUCUGAUCUCUGCUUGACCAACUAUUUAUUUUAAAAAUAUUUAUUUAUGCAUACAAGAACUGGCGUGUAGACCAGAGGUGUGGAAGGUGAGAGGAUUCACCAGAGAAAGUGGGGAGCAGAACAGGCAGAUCUACUGAAAUAUUGUGCUGAGGGGAGCAGAGGGUGAGACAGGAGAGGUUUACGUGCCAUGUGGGUUGCUCCCUGACGGGCCAAGAAUCAAACUUGUGCUGCAGUGGCUGGUGAUAGCUUGAUAGCACUGUGUCUUUAAUCCCUGUGCCACCAGGGAUUGACCACCUAUUUAAAAGGGAAAGCAAGUGGCUGCCUUGUUAGAAGCCAUUUGCCUCCUAAAGAAUUGGUAGAAAUAAAGACCCAAGGGAAUUCCUAGGCAAUACCUUAGAAAGGAAGUAAGCUAGUACAUCAAGCAGCUAGGGAAGCAACUUUCUCAGAAGUAAUGACCUCAACCUAAAUGUGUUUGCUUUCCCAUGCUAAGUUGAGACAGUUUUUCAGAAAAUUGCUACCAAAAAGAAAGAUGUGGAUCCAGAAUGGGGAAGUUUUUUAUUCUCACAUGUUUGUAGGUUGGACCAAACUGAUGCCUAACACCUCCCCUAAGAAUGUAGCUCCCCAUAUCAGAUGUUUCACUUAUAUGCAGAAUAUAGAGAAACCAAACAAAAGGUCGAGAAAAAUACAAAACUCGCAAGCUAGAUCCGAGGCAUACAGUAAGGGG
Long non-coding RNA from Talpa occidentalis (Iberian mole), 1203 nucleotides. RefSeq lists it as uncharacterized. The transcript has 3 exons. The record is from RefSeq and is a predicted model, not a curated record. Lineage: Eukaryota; Metazoa; Chordata; Mammalia; Eulipotyphla; Talpidae.